UAUCCAACGGGCUACGAAAGGGUGCCAAGAAAUACCCGGACUACAUCCAGAUUUCCAUGCCCAAUGACUCCAGGAACAAGCUUCCCCUAGAGUGGUGGAAAACAGGCAUUGCCUUUGUGUACGCUCUCUUCAACCUUAUCCUGACAACAGUCAUGAUCACCGUUGUGCACGAGAGGGUCCCUCCCAAGGAACUCAGCCCUCCACUCCCAGACAAGUUUUUUGAUUACGUCGACCGGGUCAAAUGGGCAUUUUCUGUAUCAGAAAUAAAUGGGAUGGUAUUAGUUGGGCUAUGGCUCACCCAGUGGCUCUUUCUGAGAUACAAAAGGGACAAUACCAUCCUCUGUGGGAAGGAGAACCAGCUUCCUUGUGGUGACUACACAGCAGACCAGAAGGCCACCGUCUACGAUUCAUAUCAGCACACACAGUCUAUCCUAAGAGUCCAUGUUGAUCUUGGAAGUAGAGAGGUUUAAAAGAAGUUCCCACAGAAACCAAGAGCCUUACCAUCUCCUUUAGCUCCGAAGGCUGGCGGACAAUGGAUAUCAUAGAGACAGCAAAACUUGAAGGUCAUUUGGAAAGUCAAACCAACAACUCUACCAACACUUACACAAGCCCCACUGAAGCUGUAGAAGAGGAGGACAAAAAUGGCAAGGGUAAACCCAAGACCU
Molecule: small RNA, 665 nt
Filed under: Rattus norvegicus (Norway rat)
Lineage: Eukaryota; Metazoa; Chordata; Mammalia; Rodentia; Muridae
Description: circSgms2_2
Source: RNAcentral